AGUGAACGCUGGCGGUAGGCCUAACACAUGCAAGUCGAACGGCAGCACAGUAAGAGCUUGCUCUUACGGGUGGCGAGUGGCGGACGGGUGAGGAAUACAUCGGAAUCUACUUUUUGUGGGGGAUAACGUAGGGAAACUUACGCUAAUACCGCAUACGACCUACGGGUGAAAGCAGGGGAUCUUCGGACCUUGCGCGAUUGAAUGAGCCGAUGUCGGAUUAGCUAGUUGGCGGGGUAAAGGCCCACCAAGGCGACGAUCCGUAGCUGGUCUGAGAGGAUGAUCAGCCACACUGGAACUGAGACACGGUCCAGACUCCUACGGGAGGCAGCAGUGGGGAAUAUUGGACAAUGGGCGCAAGCCUGAUCCAGCCAUACCGCGUGGGUGAAGAAGGCCUUCGGGUUGUAAAGCCCUUUUGUUGGGAAAGAAAAGCAGCAGGUUAAUACCCCGCUGUUCUGACGGUACCCAAAGAGUAAGCACCGGCUAACUUCGUG
This 491-nucleotide ribosomal RNA is filed under the name uncultured bacterium. RNAcentral's name for it is "partial 16S ribosomal RNA". It matches the Rfam family "Bacterial small subunit ribosomal RNA", at positions 29 to 507 of the family's 1533-position model. The record is from RNAcentral.